GGCCUCGUAGCUCAGGGGACAGAGCAGCGGCUUUCUAAUUCGCGGGGACGGAAGUUCGAAUCUUCCCGAGGGCGCCA
RNAcentral lists this transfer RNA (77 nucleotides) under Chloroflexota bacterium. Its description in RNAcentral is "tRNA-Arg". It matches the Rfam family "tRNA". Rfam says of the family: Transfer RNA (tRNA) molecules are approximately 80 nucleotides in length. Their secondary structure includes four short double-helical elements and three loops (D, anti-codon, and T loops). Further hydrogen bonds mediate the characteristic L-shaped molecular structure. tRNAs have two regions of fundamental functional importance: the anti-codon, which is responsible for specific mRNA codon recognition, and the 3' end, to which the tRNAs corresponding amino acid is attached (by aminoacyl-tRNA synthetases). tRNAs cope with the degeneracy of the genetic code in two manners: having more than one tRNA (with a specific anti-codon) for a particular amino acid; and 'wobble' base-pairing, i.e. permitting non-standard base-pairing at the 3rd anti-codon position. Lineage: Bacteria; Bacillati; Chloroflexota. The record is from RNAcentral.